UUUAUGGAGAGUUUGAUCCUGGCUCAGAGUGAACGCUGGCGGCGUGCCUAAUACAUGCAAGUCGAACGAUGAAGCUUCUAGCUUGCUAGAAUGCUGAUUAGUGGCGCACGGGUGAGUAACGCAUAGGUCAUGUGCCUCUUAGUUUGGGAUAGCCAUUGGAAACGAUGAUUAAUACCAGAUACUCCCUACGGGGGAAAGAUUUAUCGCUAAGAGAUCAGCCUAUGUCCUAUCAGCUUGUUGGUAAGGUAAUGGCUUACCAAGGCUAUGACGGGUAUCCGGCCUGAGAGGGUGAACGGACACACUGGAACUGAGACACGGUCCAGACUCCUACGGGAGGCAGCAGUAGGGAAUAUUGCUCAAUGGGGGAAACCCUGAAGCAGCAACGCCGCGUGGAGGAUGAAGGUUUUAGGAUUGUAAACUCCUUUUGUUAGAGAAGAUAAUGACGGUAUCUAACGAAUAAGCACCGGCUAACUCCGUGCCAGCAGCCGCGGUAAUACGGAGGGUGCAAGCGUUACUCGGAAUCACUGGGCGUAAAGAGCGCGUAGGCGGGAUAGUCAGUCAGGUGUGAAAUCCUAUGGCUUAACCAUAGAACUGCAUUUGAAACUACUAUUCUAGAGUGUGGGAGAGGUAGGUGGAAUUCUUGGUGUAGGGGUAAAAUCCGUAGAGAUCAAGAGGAAUACUCAUUGCGAAGGCGACCUGCUGGAACAUUACUGACGCUGAUUGCGCGAAAGCGUGGGGAGCAAACAGGAUUAGAUACCCUGGUAGUCCACGCCCUAAACGAUGGAUGCUAGUUGUUGGAGGGCUUAGUCUCUCCAGUAAUGCAGCUAACGCAUUAAGCAUCCCGCCUGGGGAGUACGGUCGCAAGAUUAAAACUCAAAGGAAUAGACGGGGACCCGCACAAGCGGUGGAGCAUGUGGUUUAAUUCGAAGAUACACGAAGAACCUUACCUAGGCUUGACAUUGAGAGAAUCCGCUAGAAAUAGUGGAGUGUCUAGCUUGCUAGACCUUGAAAACAGGUGCUGCACGGCUGUCGUCAGCUCGUGUCGUGAGAUGUUGGGUUAAGUCCCGCAACGAGCGCAACCCCCUUUCUUAGUUGCUAACAGGUCAUGCUGAGAACUCUAAGGAUACUGCCUCCGUAAGGAGGAGGAAGGUGGGGACGACGUCAAGUCAUCAUGGCCCUUACGCCUAGGGCUACACACGUGCUACAAUGGGGUGCACAAAGAGAAGCAAUACUGCGAAGUGGAGCCAAUCUUCAAAACACCUCUCAGUUCGGAUUGUAGGCUGCAACUCGCCUGCAUGAAGCUGGAAUCGCUAGUAAUCGCAAAUCAGCCAUGUUGCGGUGAAUACGUUCCCGGGUCUUGUACUCACCGCCCGUCACACCAUGGGAGUUGUGUUUGCCUUAAGUCAGGAUGCUAAAUUAGCUACUGCCCACGGCACACACAGCGACUGGGGUGAAGUCGUAACAAGGUAACCGUAGGUGAACCUGCGGUUGGAUCACCUCCUUU
RNAcentral lists this ribosomal RNA (1504 nucleotides) under Helicobacter pylori. RNAcentral describes it as "bacterial SSU rRNA". It matches the Rfam family "Bacterial small subunit ribosomal RNA". The record is from RNAcentral. Lineage: Bacteria; Pseudomonadati; Campylobacterota; Epsilonproteobacteria; Campylobacterales; Helicobacteraceae.